Molecule: ribosomal RNA, 92 nt
Filed under: Acanthosepion pharaonis
Lineage: Eukaryota; Metazoa; Mollusca; Cephalopoda; Sepiida; Sepiidae
Source: RNAcentral
UCACGGUUCUCGUUCGAUCACCGAAGUUAAGCAUCGUAGAGCCAGGUCAGUACUUAGAUGGGGACCGCUUGGGAACACCUGGUACUGUAAGC